UUUCUAUGAGGCAUUCAUAAUAGCAGAACAGGCACAAAGUAAUAAUAAAAUGUACAAGCAUUCUUAAUAACGAAAUUUCUUUAGUAGAGAAAUAUGUCUGGUGUAUUCCAUAAGAGAAGUUAUAAACAAGAAUUCUGUCUGAAGAGAAGUGUUUGUCAAGUGAAGCCACCAAAGCUAUGACUGUGGUAGGUCUUCUGGUAGAAUAUCAUUGAAAUAUUCUUGGUAUUCUUUCUUUUUAGGAUUUCCAGGCCUUCUGAUAUUUUUGUCUUAUGAGUAUUAUAUACUAGCCUCAUUGCUUUAGUAUUGUGCCAUUCUGUCUCUUUUCAUAAUCUUGCCACAAGGGCCAUAGUAACCCUACUUAAGUGUCUGUCUUCCUUGUCCAAAUGUUCCUUGCCAUAAUGGUCUUUAUCAUUCAGAAUGUUAAAUAUUGUAGGAUUUCUUCUAUAACCUAAUUUUCAUUCUUUUCAAGUUAGGUAAGGAGUUGUCAUACAGUAUAGUAGACCACACAUGCCCAAUACCCAUAGGGUUAUAGAUGACAGCUAGUAGCAGUCUGGCAUAGCACAAAGAAUCUUUUUCAUAUAUUUUUAGGUAGAUAUUAUACAUAAAGUUAUAAAUAUAGUUGUGUUUAUACCCAAACUACAAAAUAUUCAUCUGUAAUGCAGAAUAGUUGUGGUUGGUAAAUAUCCUUAUAAAAAGUGCUCUAAAGACAGAUUUCUUAUAAACAAGGAGUUGCAAGACCAUUCCAGUAUGAAAAUUGGCACAUUGGAUAGUUAAUGGUAGAUGGCUACAUGAUAUUUUAAACUAGAAAAGCUAUAUCAAUAUACCAGAAAAUGGAUAUGCUCUGUAAAUUGAUUGAUCUAGGGAGAUAGACAAAUUAAGAGAUUCACUUUUAAGAAAUUUGUUAAAUGCUGCACAUCAUGGUCCUCCAUCCCAUAAUAUAUGUCAUCUACAUACCUGCAAAAGAGCUUAAUCAAGCUGCUAAAGUGUGGUAAUACCUACUCCUCUUUGUACAUAAUAUCAGAUCAGCUAUGAGUUUCAUUAAAGAGAUUCUAAUGGUACAAUUCUUGACUGUUGACCUCUUAAAAAACUUUGCAGUCACUGACUUUAUUAUAGUCAUAUCAAUAAACUACAAUAUAAGUCUUACAACUGUAUUAGUCUAUUGGUAUUUAAAUCUAAAUCAAGUAUGCCAAAUAUCAAUAGACUGUAAUAAAGUUGAGAAAAAGAACUUUACAGUGGAGACACAAAAAGAUGCUUAGAAGACAGAAUUAAACUGUUUUGGUUCCUUAAACAUAUAUAUGUAAUUUGAAUUUGUUCUAUAGGCGAAC
This 1325-nucleotide long non-coding RNA is filed under the name Androctonus crassicauda. Lineage: Eukaryota; Metazoa; Arthropoda; Arachnida; Scorpiones; Buthidae. The record is from RNAcentral.